CACACACACAUAAGAAAGGGCGCCUCAAAUUAUAAGGUAGAGAAAUUGUUGUCUACUUUACAUAUGGUGAGACAUCAAUUCACUAGCUUUCAAUUUGUACGCCCAAAUGCAACGGAACCAUU
Molecule: microRNA precursor, 122 nt
Filed under: Drosophila virilis
Lineage: Eukaryota; Metazoa; Arthropoda; Insecta; Diptera; Drosophilidae
Description: microRNA dvi-mir-962 precursor
Gene: dvi-mir-962
Source: miRBase by way of RNAcentral